Triticum aestivum (bread wheat) is the source of this 127-nucleotide non-coding RNA. The record is from Rfam. NCBI's taxonomy places the organism in Eukaryota, Viridiplantae, Streptophyta, Magnoliopsida, Poales, Poaceae.
CAAAUACUCCCUCCGAGUCCGAAAAUACUUGUUGGAGAAAUGAAUGCAUCUAGACGUAUUUUAGUUCUAGAUACAUCAAUUUUUAUGCAUUUCUCUGACAAGUAUUUCCGGACGAAGGGAGUAUAAA